CCUACGGGAGGCAGCAGUGAGGAAUAUUGGGCAAUGGACGAGAGUCUGAACCAGCCACGUCGCGUGAAGGAUGAAUGCCCUAUGGUUUGUAACCUUCUUUUAUAUGGGAAUAAAACAGGGUAUGCAUACCCUCUUGUAUGUACCAUAUGAAUAUGGAUCGGCUAACUCCGUGCCAGCAGCCGCGGUAAUACGGAGGAUCCGAGCGUUGUCCGGAUUUAUUGGGGUUAAAGGGAGCGUAGGUGGAAUGUUAAGUCAGUUGUGAAAGUUUGGGGCUCAACCUUAAACGUGCAGUUGAAACUGGCAUUCUUGAGUACAGUAGAGGUGGGCGGAAUUCGUGGUGUAGCGGUGAAAUGCUUAGAUAUCACGAAGAACUCCGAUUGCGAAGGCAGCUCACUGGACUGCAACUGACACUGAUGCUCGAAAGUGUGGGUAUCAAACAGGAUUAGAUACCCUUGUAGUC
This 460-nucleotide ribosomal RNA is filed under the name uncultured bacterium. Its description in RNAcentral is "partial 16S ribosomal RNA". It matches the Rfam family "Bacterial small subunit ribosomal RNA", at positions 338 to 795 of the family's 1533-position model. The record is from RNAcentral.